AGGACCGCGGCAAGGGCAUCGCGCCCGAUCAGUGAGACCGUGGUAGUAUAGUAGCUUUCCUUUUUGCAUUAGCACACCUAUGUUUUGAGAGAGAUUCAUGUAGGUGAGAUUGGAGAGCUAUGUAUUUUGAGGAUCAGAUGUAUUCAUUUUGGAAAAUGAUGUAAAUGUAAAGAAUGUAACUAUUGUAAUAGUUAGUAAGUACUCUCUUUAUUUCACUCGUAUAUCUUGU
Molecule: long non-coding RNA, 229 nt
Filed under: Ananas comosus (pineapple)
Lineage: Eukaryota; Viridiplantae; Streptophyta; Magnoliopsida; Poales; Bromeliaceae
Description: long non-coding RNA (ACOM_LNC039165)
Source: RNAcentral